Small nucleolar RNA from Cavia porcellus (domestic guinea pig), 128 nucleotides. RefSeq annotates it as small nucleolar RNA SNORA40. The transcript has a single exon. The record is from RefSeq and is a predicted model, not a curated record. NCBI's taxonomy places the organism in Eukaryota, Metazoa, Chordata, Mammalia, Rodentia, Caviidae.
UGUGUGUGUGUGUGUGUGUGUCUUAACUUAUGGACUAAAACCUAAUGGACAGAUGUGAAAGAUAAACUGUCUUUUGCAACCUGGAGCUCAUUGUUCAGCAUGAGUUUUGACACACUUAAGACGGUAUU